AACGAACGCUGGCGGCAUGCCUAACACAUGCAAGUCGAACGAGACCCUCGGGUCUAGUGGCGCACGGGUGCGUAACGCGUGGGAACCUGCCUUUAGGUUCGGAAUAACUCAGAGAAAUUUGAGCUAAUACCGGAUGAUGUCUUCGGACCAAAGAUUUAUCGCCUUUAGAUGGGCCCGCGUUGGAUUAGCUUGUUGGUGAG
Molecule: ribosomal RNA, 200 nt
Filed under: uncultured bacterium
Lineage: Bacteria
Description: partial 16S ribosomal RNA
Rfam family: Bacterial small subunit ribosomal RNA
Source: RNAcentral